Molecule: transfer RNA, 70 nt
Filed under: Moricella rufonota
Lineage: Eukaryota; Metazoa; Arthropoda; Insecta; Hymenoptera; Tenthredinidae
Description: tRNA-Leu
Source: RNAcentral
ACUAUUUUGACAGAUUAAUGUGAUAAUUUUAGAAGUUAUUUAUGUAUAAUUUUUUUUUGUACAAAUAGUA